GACGAACGCUGGCGGCGUGCUUAACACAUGCCAGUCGAACGGAAAGGCUCCAGCUUGCUGGAGUACUCGAGUGGCGAACGGGUGAGUAACACGUGGGUAAUCUGCCCUGCACUCUGGGAUAAGCCUGGGAAACUGGGUCUAAUACUGGAUAUGACCUUUCUCCUUAUGGGGUUUGGUGGAAAGUUUUUCGGUGUAGGAUGAGCCCGCGGCCUAUCAGCUUGUUGGUGGGGUGAUGGCCUACCAAGGCGACGACGGGUAGCCGGCCUGAGAGGGUGAUCGGCCACAUUGGGACUGAGAUACGGCCCAGACUCCUACGGGAGGCAGCAGUGGGGAAUAUUGCACAAUGGGCGGAAGCCUGAUGCAGCGACGCCGCGUGAGGGAUGACGGCCUUCGGGUUGUAAACCUCUUUCAGCAGGGACGAAGCGUAUGUGACGGUACCUGCAGAAGAAGCACCGGCUAACUAUGUG
Molecule: ribosomal RNA, 467 nt
Filed under: uncultured bacterium
Lineage: Bacteria
Description: partial 16S ribosomal RNA
Rfam family: Bacterial small subunit ribosomal RNA
Source: RNAcentral